AACGAACGCUGGCGGCAGGCUUAACACAUGCAAGUCGAGUGCCCCGCAAGGGGAGCGGCAGACGGGUGAGUAACGCGUGGGAAUCUACCGUGCCCUACGGAAUAGCUCCGGGAAACUGGAAUUAAUACCGUAUACGCCCUACGGGGGAAAGAUUUAUCGGGGUAUGAUGAGCCCGCGUUGGAUUAGCUAGUUGGUGGGGUAAAGGCCUACCAAGGCGACGAUCCAUAGCUGGUCUGAGAGGAUGAUCAGCCACAUUGGGACUGAGACACGGCCCAAACUCCUACGGGAGGCAGCAGUGGGGAAUGUUGGACAAUGGGCGCAAGCCUGAUCCAGCCAUGCCGCGUGAGUGAUGAAGGUCUUAGGAUUGUAAAGCUCUUUCACCGGUGAAGAUAAUGACGGUAACCGGAGAAGAAGCCCCGGCUAACUUCGUGCCAGCCGCCGCAGUAA
Molecule: ribosomal RNA, 447 nt
Filed under: uncultured bacterium
Lineage: Bacteria
Description: partial 16S ribosomal RNA
Rfam family: Bacterial small subunit ribosomal RNA
Source: RNAcentral